This 446-nucleotide ribosomal RNA is filed under the name uncultured marine eukaryote. RNAcentral describes it as "SSU rRNA". It matches the Rfam family "Eukaryotic small subunit ribosomal RNA", at positions 121 to 566 of the family's 1831-position model. The record is from RNAcentral.
GUGAAAUAACCAGUUACUUGGAUAACUGCGGUAAUUCUGGAGCUAAUACAUGCAACAAGCCCCGACUCACGGAGGGGCGCUUUUAUUAGAUCAAAACCAAACGGCUUCGGCUGUCUCGCUUGGUGACUCUGAAUAACUUUGGGCUGAUCGCAUGGCCUUGCGCCGGCGACAUUUCCGUCGAAGGUGUGCCCUAUCAACUGUCGACUGUGGCAUAGACGCCCACAGUGGUUUUGACGGGUAACGGGGAAUCAGGGUUCGAUUCCGGAGAGGGAGCCUUAAAAACGGCUACCACAUCUAAGGAAGGCAGCAGGCACGCAAAUUACCCAAUGACCGAAGGUCGAGGUAGUGACGAAAAAUAACGAUAGCGGACUCAUCCGAGGCCCGCUAAUUGGAAUGAGUACACUUUAAAACCGUCCCCGAGGAUCUAUUGGAGGGCAAGUCUGGUA